AUCUGAGACUAAACACUGGCCCGCACUCUUCGCACGUCUCUCAUGAAAUCGCCGAUGGCGACCAGCGCCGUGAGCGGGUGCUCCCUUUUCCGCUCCGCUCCUCCGCCUAUUGUCCUCCUCUCCCUCCGCAUCUUCCACUCCCGCCCUUCCACUCUCUGCGGAAGCCUUCCUCGGUUCCUCCAAGAUUUCGGUUGGAUGGCCUCGUCUUCCGAUAUGAUGGCAGGGGCCGGAGCUGUUGCGCCCACAGCCUCGUCGACUCCGUCAUGGCGGAGUUGGCAGAAAUCGCGCCAGCGGGCCAAUUCGUGCGUGUAUCAAAAUGGUACUAUGUCCUCUAUAAGGCCUCAGCAAGUCACAUAUAUUGUACCUGGUAUCGAAGAUUUUGACCAUACAAACAUUGCUGAGUUUAUUCAAAAAGCUCGGCAUCUUUUGGAUCCAUCAAUCCUGGAGUGUGGUUGGGUGGAGCUUUUGGAAAAGAAAAAGUCAGUGACAGCUAAGGUGUAAGCAGAGGUGCACUUUAAAUAAAAAAAAAUUCUUCCAUGUUUUGCACCUUUCCUAUCUUUAAUAAAUAUAAGUAUCAUUUGCUUCGGAUCAUAUGUGGUAGCAGGGAUCCUCUUGAAAGCUACUGUGCUUAUCUUUUGUUGUCAAGAGAUGAAAUAUAUGUUAAUGCGAUUGAGACAAUAGGAUCUUGUUCUGUUUAUGAGCCUUGACCUAGUUUUCAGGUAUUGUUUGUAUCAUGUCUGUCAUCUCUGCACUACAAUAAUUGAUGAGGUGGUAUGGGAAAGGCCAACUAGUUGGAGUGGUUGAUCCAAGUUAUGCAGUUUAGGAUUUAUUGUGUUUUUGUAUUUUCUUCAAUUCAUAGUAGAUUACCAUCUUUAUUCUCUUUUUUGGGUCACUGUUUCUACGAUAUUGUGCAGUCUUAUCCAAGUUUUCAGGUGCCUUUGUGUUUCUAUAUGCCCAUUCUUGGCAUAGAAUGCUAUGUGUUCUGGUCUUGCGCCGAUUUGACCUGGCAAGCAUCACACAAACUUCAGUUUGAUAUGCAUGGACUUUUGGUCAUCCCAGUUUAUACAUUGUUUCAGUUGAGAAAUCACUUUGUAUUUUCAUGUAUUAUUUAUGCCAAACAACUGAUAUUCUUUAUCUGAUAUUAGGUGGAGGAACUUUUACACAGGAAGUUUGUCAAGGAAGCAUCAGUGAAGGAACUUGAAGAAUUUGUCCAGUUAUUGAUGUCUGCAACGGCAAUGCCUCCACGCUCUAAACCUUCUAAAAGUUCAUGGACAAUAGAAGAAAAGGUCAAAUGGAGGAUUGAGGCUCAUGAGGCAUAUGCUAUAGAUGCAUACAGGAAUGAGGAACAAAAGAAAACAUCUGGAAAUGUAAUACAUCUGACACCAUAAGUGUGAAUUAAAUUUGUCCAGAUACUCAACGCAAUGGGACUAUUAACAACAUCAUCUGCUCCAGUGAUCCUGCUUCUAGAUAUUGGAUAUUUCCCUCUUGAUCUCUUAAAGUUCAACAUUCAUACUGAACAUAGUGAUGAAGUUUUGUCAGCUGCUGAAAGCCUUUUAAUGCUCUCUUCUGAUCCUGAUGAGGAAAGAUCCUACAUUUUGGAAACUCUAUGCAAUUGAUGUGGAUGAGGCUGACGAGCUUGAUGAUGCACUAAGUGCAGCUAGGCUGCCAGAUGGUCGGAUAAAAGUCUGGAUUCAUGUUGCUGAUCAUGCUUGCUUGGUUGAACCUCACAGCAUAAUUUGAGAGGGAAGCGAUGUGAAGAGGAACCUCAGUAUUUUUGCCUACUGCAACAUUUCCAAUGUUUCCAGAGAAGCUUGUUAUGGAGGGCAUGAGCUUGCUGCAAGGUAUACUUUGCAAGGCUGUCAGUGUUUCUGUUGCACCAAACAAAGAUGGCAGGUGAAAGCUUUUCUUAGAGGAGAACCUAUUUUCAGUUGGUCAAGUGGAAUGAAUGGCAUGUCUUGUGAGCAUGCAUGUUAGAGUAGGUAAGAGGCUCUACAACAGCAGUCUAAGAUAUUGGCUAUUAGAGUAUUUGAGAAGACAGCCAAGGGAAAGUUUCGUGCAUUGAUCCUUUGGUUUAUCAAGGAUCAGAUGGCAGCCUUGCUUCGUAUGGAGAUUAAUUAAUGUAAAGAGGCGAUCUAAGCAGAAGCCUCAUGACAAGGCCAGCAGAACAGGGCUGAGUUCUAUCAAUGAAAUCCAAAACAAAAGGCUAUCCUAUGACAUUACCCACCUAUUUAUGCUUAUGAUCAAUGAUUGGAUGAUUACUGUUACAUGAGAGUCCUGGUGUGGAGGUGCGUUACUAUAGGACCAUGGAUGUGGAAAUGAGGCCCUGUGAUCCUACUGAAUACCAUGAUCUCUACAGCUUUACGGAGACCCUGUUCUUCACCAGGAAACUCCAUACACUGCAGACCAGAUCCUCUGUACCCUGCAGGAUUACAGGCUUCAUAUGCACCUUCCCUUUAUCAUUGUCAAGAUGUAGUAAGGUUCUGCUUAUGGUGGAAUAGGGUGCUUGAUGAUUCAAACCUGUCUUCUGACUUGGACAUCGGCAUGGUUUUUCUUCUUUUGUUUUUAAAGAACAUGACAUUUAUAUGACCUUGCCAAAGAAAACUUGGUUCUUUUAAUUCA
Phoenix dactylifera (date palm) is the source of this 2619-nucleotide non-coding RNA. The record is from RefSeq and is a predicted model, not a curated record. NCBI's taxonomy places the organism in Eukaryota, Viridiplantae, Streptophyta, Magnoliopsida, Arecales, Arecaceae.